UUUACGGAGAGUUUGAUCCUGGCUCAGGACGAACGCUGGCGGCGUGCUUAACACAUGCAAGUCGAACGAUGAUGCCCAGCUUGCUGGGUGGAUUAGUGGCGAACGGGUGAGUAACACGUGAGUAACCUGCCCCUGACUCUGGGAUAAGCGUUGGAAACGACGUCUAAUACUGGAUAUGAUCACUGGCCGCAUGGUCUGGUGGUGGAAAGAUUUUUUGGUUGGGGAUGGACUCGCGGCCUAUCAGCUUGUUGGUGAGGUAAUGGCUCACCAAGGCGACGACGGGUAGCCGGCCUGAGAGGGUGACCGGCCACACUGGGACUGAGACACGGCCCAGACUCCUACGGGAGGCAGCAGUGGGGAAUAUUGCACAAUGGGCGAAAGCCUGAUGCAGCAACGCCGCGUGAGGGAUGACGGCCUUCGGGUUGUAAACCUCUUUUAGUAGGGAAGAAGCGAAAGUGACGGUACCUGCAGAAAAAGCACCGGCUAACUACGUGCCAGCAGCCGCGGUAAUACGUAGGGUGCAAGCGUUGUCCGGAAUUAUUGGGCGUAAAGAGCUCGUAGGCGGUUUGUCGCGUCUGCUGUGAAAUCCCGAGGCUCAACCUCGGGCUUGCAGUGGGUACGGGCAGACUAGAGUGCGGUAGGGGAGAUUGGAAUUCCUGGUGUAGCGGUGGAAUGCGCAGAUAUCAGGAGGAACACCGAUGGCGAAGGCAGAUCUCUGGGCCGUAACUGACGCUGAGGAGCGAAAGCAUGGGGAGCGAACAGGAUUAGAUACCCUGGUAGUCCAUGCCGUAAACGUUGGGCGCUAGAUGUAGGGACCUUUCCACGGUUUCUGUGUCAUAGCUAACGCAUUAAGCGCCCCGCCUGGGGAGUACGGCCGCAAGGCUAAAACUCAAAGGAAUUGACGGGGGCCCGCACAAGCGGCGGAGCAUGCGGAUUAAUUCGAUGCAACGCGAAGAACCUUACCAAGGCUUGACAUACACCGGAAACGGCCAGAGAUGGUCGCCCCCUUGUGGUCGGUGUACAGGUGGUGCAUGGUUGUCGUCAGCUCGUGUCGUGAGAUGUUGGGUUAAGUCCCGCAACGAGCGCAACCCUCGUUCUAUGUUGCCAGCGGGUUGUGCCGGGGACUCAUAGGAGACUGCCGGGGUCAACUCGGAGGAAGGUGGGGAUGACGUCAAAUCAUCAUGCCCCUUAUGUCUUGGGCUUCACGCAUGCUACAAUGGCCGGUACAAAGGGCUGCGAUACCGUAAGGUGGAGCGAAUCCCAAAAAGCCGGUCUCAGUUCGGAUUGAGGUCUGCAACUCGACCUCAUGAAGUCGGAGUCGCUAGUAAUCGCAGAUCAGCAACGCUGCGGUGAAUACGUUCCCGGGCCUUGUACACACCGCCCGUCAAGUCAUGAAAGUCGGUAACACCCGAAGCCGGUGGCCUAACCCUUGUGGAAGGAGCCGUCGAAGGUGGGAUCGGUGAUUAGGACUAAGUCGUAACAAGGUAGCCGUACCGGAAGGUGCGGCUGGAUCACCUCCUUU
This 1522-nucleotide ribosomal RNA is filed under the name Curtobacterium sp. 24E2. Its description in RNAcentral is "bacterial SSU rRNA". It matches the Rfam family "Bacterial small subunit ribosomal RNA". Lineage: Bacteria; Bacillati; Actinomycetota; Actinomycetes; Micrococcales; Microbacteriaceae. The record is from RNAcentral.